Molecule: non-coding RNA, 86 nt
Organism: Hypoxylon fuscum
Lineage: Eukaryota; Fungi; Ascomycota; Sordariomycetes; Xylariales; Hypoxylaceae
Source: the annotation of a GenBank genome assembly
GGUGGUUUCGUAUAGUGGUUAGUACAACACGUUGUGGUUAGUAAAAUAAUCCCGUGUAAACCUGGAUUCGAUUUCCAGAACCGCCA